Molecule: small nuclear RNA, 87 nt
Filed under: Zalophus californianus (California sea lion)
Lineage: Eukaryota; Metazoa; Chordata; Mammalia; Carnivora; Otariidae
Description: U4 spliceosomal RNA (ENSZCAG00015016672.1)
Rfam family: U4 spliceosomal RNA (bases 1-74)
About the family: U4 small nuclear RNA (U4 snRNA) is a component of the major U2-dependent spliceosome. The structure of U4 snRNA from yeast and human has been reported.
Source: RNAcentral
AGCUUUGCGCAGUGGCAGUAUCGUAGCCAAUGAGGUUUAUCCGAGGCGCGAUUAUUGCUAAUUGAAAAUCUUUAGGUGGUUGAUUGU